GAAGAGAAGGAAAGAGAUAUAUAUAUAUAUAUAUAGAGAAAAACAAAGAGACAGAUAGAGAGAGAGAAAGAGAGACAGAGCGGCGGACGGAAUAUCGAGUCUCUCGUUAAAACGAUGACUAAAAUUGGCAAUAUAAUAUACUACCACAUAGUGUACCGUGGUAGUAUCGUAUCGAUGAACGAUGUUCAUCCCUCGUGCGUUCACGCUUUCUUUCGCGGCCUCGAAGAAGGACACUGCGUUGGUCUCUCCCUUUCAGAGAAUCCUCCCUUCCAUCUUCCCUUCCACGAUUCAUCUCAAUUUUUCUUCGAGCUUUUUGUGUCCAAUUUCACCUCGCCUCCCUCGGAUCCCAUCCUCUUUCUUUUUCCCGUCUGUCUCUCUGCCAUUCGUGGAGAGUAGACGAGAGCGCGCGCUCGCUCGCUCCCCCCCUCCCCUCCCCCUCCCCACACCCAUCUUCUUCUACCCUCGUAUCGUUCUCGUUCCAUCUCCCUCUUUUCUUUUCUCUGGCCCUCCUUGUCCCUCGGCCGUUUCGUCGUUUCUUUCUCGAGACCCUCCUCGUCUCUCCUUCCCUCUCUUUCUCCGCGCGUUGGCUCCAUUUACUCGUUCCCUCGUUCCCUCCCCACGAGGCGAAGACGCUAUUUUCUCGUGGCCCCUUUUCUUCCACGGUCUCCGCCACCCUUCUCUCUUUUUCUCCUCUCUCUCUCUCUCCUCUCCCGUCCUAUCCUCUCCUCCGCUCUCUCUGUCUCUCUCUCUUUCCACCACACCAGCCACUCCGUUUUCUCGCUCGAUGGGAAGCUUCUACCCUCCUCUCUUUCUCCUCUCUUCCUCUCCUCAUACUACACGCCGCGUUUCCUUUUCCUCCUGGUCGGUGCGCGUUUUACGUUUUUCCAACGUUAUCGACGUUCUUCCUCGGCUCUUCUCGGACUUUUUCCUUUCGUCGUCGUCGUCGUCGUCGUGGUACCAUCGUACCACCGUCAUCCUCGAGACGACCAACCAGCUCUUUCUCCGGGAAAACGUAAGCGGAAACGGCUUCUCCCCUCCUGCCUUCGCUUCUUCCACCCAGAACCGCGCGUUUCUAGAGGGAACGUUCUGAAAUCUUCCAGAACAGUUUUCUUCGCCUCGUUUCGCUCCCAUAUUCUCGUUCCUCUUCCAUCGUAAAGGAAAGGCGCGGCCGAUAAAGACGGCGAAACUAGUAAAAUUUCUACAUAUCCUCCUUAAAAUUCCGCCAUCUUGUUUUCUUUUUAUUUAUUUAUUUCCCCCUCUCCUUUCCACGUAGUUUUCAAUAAUUAUUCGAAUUUUCUUUCUAUAAACCUUGUCAAAAUUAAAAUUAUCCUUGUUCGAUGAUCGAUUCCAAUUGUUGUUAAUCAACGAUAUAAAAUUUGCAAUAUUUUAUCGAGCAUUUAUUUUCAUCGAGAAAUCGUAUAUAUUAUAAUAAUGUAAUAACGCGAGGCUCGAUUACGAGAUCGAUUUUCCAGAAACGCGUAUUUUUCUAAUCCGAUUGAUCGAUGCCGAAAGGACAUCGACAUCGGGUCACAGCCGAUUCCGAUCGCCGGCAAACGAGAAACGAUUUCUAUCGAUCCUUUGGAAUAUCGAACGCAAGGUGGUGAAAGGUAGUCGAUCGUUUCGUUAAUAUUUUCCGGUCACUUCACUUUCGCGAACAUUUCAUUCGCUGUGCUCGUACAAGACUGAGACGGGAGAAGGAGGAGGAGGUAGGCACACGAUACAAAGAGCGAGAGAGAGAGAGAAGGAUAAACAAACGUGCGAGGUAGGUACGAGGAGUAUAUAAGGAACAACAGUGGUCAACGAGUCGAAGCAGUCCUAAUUUCCGUCCUGUCUGUACCGUAAGGCAUAACAGUACCGCAUUCCAAAUGCCCUUCGUUUCUUCGUUUCUCUCCGUUCACCUUUCCGAGAGAACCAGCCUCUCUCGGCCUCUCACCUGUUCCUCUUCGCCCUACCACUUGAAACAGCACACGCGUAUACACUGUACAGUGGCUGCCUAUGUUGUCUCCGUUCUUCCUUUACCAUCCCUCCUUCCCUCCCCCUUCCAUUACCCCUCUCUGACGCCGUUUUCGAAGGAAAGGAAAGGAGAGAGAGAGAGAGAAAGAGAGAAGGAUAGAGAAGAGAGAGAGAGAGGAGGAGAAGGAAGAACGAGCCGCGAGAUACGGGAGAGGAGAGGGGGGAGAGUAGAGAGAGACCCGGAAACGGCAAUUUCACUGGAAGCAAACGAGAGCGGAGGAAUCGACACGUGGAGAUGCGCAAGAAAGGAGGAAAGAAAAAUGCUCUCUCUACGUACUGGGACUGUUUUCGUCCGUUGUCCUUCCUCGUCCUCUGCAAGAAAGAAUAUCUAUUUGACGGAAUAUAAUCUCGCGUAAACUUGUUUACAUUAACCCUCGACCGGUCGACCUUCGGUCAUUGGAAAAAUAAUUCAAUUAUUUAUUAUCUUCUCGCGUUUAUUUUUCUUCUCCUUUUUUUUUUUUUUCUUUCCUCUAUUAUACAAUAUUCUAUUUUAUCGUAGUUACGUAGCAAUAGUUACGUAUCAAUAAGAAUUUUCAACGGAGAGAUUAUUUCUAAAAUAUAUCGCGGUCAAAGCGAUUUUUCCUUUAAACAUUUCUCUCUCUUAAAAAAAAAAAAAAAAAAAAUACUUGGAACGAGUAUUGCUUUGCACGCAACCUGUUCUUCGUUCCACGCAUCCUUUCCUUCGUACAUGUACGAUAUAGUGUACGUUCUCUCUCUCUCCCUUUCUCUCCUUUUUUUUUUAUUUCUCUCUUAUGGAACAAGGAUAAACGAGGGUUAGAAACCACCCCCGGUAUCCACGUGAUCAGGGUUGCGUCCCUUCGAAGGGUGCAACGUAAGAGGGUGACGUGGACUUGUCCAAGGUCGCACGUGGCUUGCCCAGAGGGAUCUCUUCUCCCUAACUACGAGGGUGCACAAUUUUUUUCCCGUUCAUUCGAUUCCACGGCUAUCGAACAACCACCAUUCGUGUCAUGAAUAAAAAAAAGUUCCUCUCCCUCUCUCCUAUAACAUUUUUCUCUUUCACCAUUUACCUUUGAUACACUUUUCCGCCAAAAUUCGAAUUGUCGAUCGUCUUAAAUUUUCCAAUCCCUUUCUUCCUUUUUCUAAAUUAAAAAAAAAAAUUUCCACUUUCGAUACAUUUAAUUACGUUUUACAAACUAGAAUCAAAAUAGUCUCAAUCUCUCUCUCUCUCUCUCUCCUUCCUCCUGCCUCGAUUAUCAAUAGCACUACUAUUUAGCCGGCAAAGGUAGCCGGUUAAGUUUUCGAGGAAGGAGAAAGGAGCAACGAGGAUGCGCAGGAGUGGUGAAGGGUGAACGGAAGCAACGAGAAGAAGAAGGGAGAAAGGGUGGUGAAGAGAGGGUGGUGAACAGCGGAUAAGAGAGUCCCUUUGUGUGUUCGUGUACGAGCGGAGGGAUGAAAGCGGAGGAUGAAAAAGCCGGGGGGACAGAUGGCCCUUUCAGACAAUGAGAAACUCCGGAGAUAAGGGGAACGCGAGCGAGAAUCUAAGGGGAGGGGGGGGGAGGGAGAUAGAGAAAGAGGAAGAGAAGGGAAAAAAGGGAGUUGGGGGGGGGAGAGAAAGAAGGAGGGAAGAGGCAAAACUGCUUUUUUGAGACGGCAAUGGGGGAAGGGACGUAAUGAACGGAUGAGGCGGGAGAGCGCGCGAGAGAACGGGGGAAGGGAGAGGAGGAGAGAAAGAGAAAGGGAAGGUUGGAAGAGUUGGAAUAACGCGAGUGAGUCAGAUGCGGAAUCGGUCGAGCAACGAUCUUUAAACGCGAUUAAUCGCCGAGCAAUACAGUUUUCUUCUCUCCGCGGGGCCCGUUAAGGCGCGUUUAAAUUGUUUUCCAACUGGGAACGGAAAGUUUGUCACAAUCGAGUAUUUUUUUUUUUUUUUUUUUUUUUUUUGAUAGAAAACGAUCGUUUAAUAUAACAUUCUUCUCGAAUCAUUCUUUUCGUUAAAAUUACGUUUAUCAACGAUGAGAAAUAACGACACGUUUCAAUUCUAUUACAAUAACGAUUACUUUCGAAAUUCGGCAUUUUCCCGCAAUACAAUUUUUUACAAGGUGAAAGAUUGUCUCGUAUAAAUAAGUCGCGGAAACAAAAAGGCGGAAUAAUCGAUCAAGAAAGUUCCUCCUCUUGCAUUUUUUGCGCGGUUUCAAAGAAAUAGGAUGUAUAUGUAUGUACACGUUGGAACGGAGAAUACGGAGAGUGCGGAGAGAAAGGCAAGAGGGUUGCCAGCGGAAAAGAUCGGUUCCGAUGAGUAGGGUGAAGAAGAGGGGACGAAGGUGAAGGAGGAGACAGCGACGACGUCGACGAUGGUAACGGUGGCGAUGGCGGUAGCGCUGGUGGCGGCGACGACGACGACGGCCGAGCAAGCGGAGAAGAUUGCAGAGGAGAAGGAAAAAGAGAAGGAGAAGGAGAAGGAGGAGGAGGAGGAGGAGGAGGAGGUAGAGGUGGAAGUGGAGGUAGAGCUGGAGGUGGUGGUGACGAAGAAGGUUAUCGAGGAAGGGGAAGACGGGAAGGAGGCGGCGAGGAAAAGGAAAAGUCGCAGUCGCCCUCCGGAACUCGAGCCUUGGAUCGUUCUAAGAAAAAAAUGGAAAGAAAGAGAAAGAGAAAAGAAGAGGAAAAGAGAGCCUGAUAGAAUGGAAGGGAUCGAGAAACGACAAAGAGAGGAAGAAAUAGACGAGAAGAAGAGAGAGCAGAGAAAAGAAAAUAUACGUGGUUCUCCCGGCGGAUACGAACGCGGCAAGGCCGAGAGAAGGAACAGUAAAAUUGUAGAGAAUGUGUACGCGCCAUCAGGGUGGCCUAGAUUCAGUCAAGACCUGCUUUCUAGGCAGCAUUUCUCUUUAUCAUCGGCACCGCUGGUACAAUGUAUGGGUAAACCGUUGGUUGCCGUACGAUCGUGGAGAAAAUCUCAGGUGCACAUAGUGCGUACUUAUUAAUGAUUCUUCCAAUUCUAUCAAUGAUUUGAUAAAUAAUUUCUACGUAUAAUUACAGAUUUCGAAUAUCAUGCAUUCUAGAUUCUAUUCUAUUCUCCGUUAUUUCUUUUCUUUCCAUCUUUUUUCUUUAUCGUAAUCUUUAUUUUCAAUACUUUACUUUUAAUAUUUUAACGAAUAUUUGUUACAUCGUUCUAAUUUGUACAUAAAAUUUUUUAUCAAUUUUUGUCACUUUAAAUAUCGUGAUUCAAAUUUAAUGCAUAAAUCAUUGAUAUCGCUGCAACAUGCAUAAGUACUUGUAAUAUACUGUAUCUAUAUUAUUAUCUUCGUAUAUAAUAUAUAUAUACAAAGAUGAAAGUCAAACGCGAGUAAUAAAUACUAUAUCAAUGUUUACAAAAAAUCUACACUUGAUGUCUUUGCGAAAGAGAGAAUUUAGAAAAAAAAAAAAGAAAGAAAGAAAGAAAAAUGAAUUUUGUAAAAAUCUUUGUUAUAUGAUUUGCGUAUUACGAAUAAUUUUGCGCCAAGACAAGAUGCUAGUCAUGUUUUUCUUCGUAUACAGCUAUACUGUACGCGCAAACAUUAAAUAAGUGUUUCCUGCGCAUACGUAAUCGCUGAUUAUUGGACAGUUAUCGUGCACGUGACCUACCGUAAUCGACGACAGCGAUUCGAACGUGCACGCGGCAACUGUUCCAAAUCCUCAUGGUGAGAAGCCACGAGGCGCGCGUGGAGGGACGUUUAAUUUGUCUUUCCGAAUGCGACAGGUCGUUAAAUGUCGUGGAUCAUUGUCACGCACAUCUAUACGAGUACGCACACGCGACUGACCAGCUGUGCGGAACUAUAGACGAAGCGGUCGAAAGUCAAAACAAUACAAGACAAGCACGCGUAAACGCGGUACAAAAUAUCGCCUGUGAAAGAUUGACAGUAUUUUCACAUCGAGGCAUCAAAAUAAUUAUUGCUCAAACGUUCGUUUAUUGAUAUAUUUUUCAUCUAUUACUAUUAUGUAUAUCUAAGAUUUUGUUUAAGACGUGUCAAUGUAACGAUAAGUACAUUUAAUAUACUCGUUGUUGAACAAAGAAAUGAUUAAGAAUCGUGAUGUAACGAUAUCGAUGAUUCACGGGGUGAACAAUCAUAGUGUUCAAAUUUAUUAUCGU
Molecule: RNA transcript, 6094 nt
Organism: Apis mellifera (honey bee)
Lineage: Eukaryota; Metazoa; Arthropoda; Insecta; Hymenoptera; Apidae
Exons: 2
Source: RefSeq, a predicted model, not a curated record